CUAAAUUCUAUUAAUACGCUAUUCACCCCCCCCUAGCGUAAAGCGUAGUUUCUAACAAGGAAAUGGCCGCAUCAUCAACAGAUUACUCCUAACCCCCAUGUAUGCUUCAUUUAACCCCAUAAGAAAUUGGAAUAUCUUGUUUUCAUCAUCUUCCUCAAUUAUUCCAUUUUUAGCAGCACACACACAUCUCUGCCCAUGAUUUGUGCACAUUGU
This 213-nucleotide long non-coding RNA is filed under the name Nicotiana benthamiana. Its description in RNAcentral is "long non-coding RNA (NBEN_LNC029787)". The record is from RNAcentral. Lineage: Eukaryota; Viridiplantae; Streptophyta; Magnoliopsida; Solanales; Solanaceae.